UUAAAUUGAAGAGUUUGAUCAUGGCUCAGAUUGAACGCUGGCGGCAGGCCUAACACAUGCAAGUCGAACGGUAGCACAGAGAGCUUGCUCUCGGGUGACGAGUGGCGGACGGGUGAGUAAUGUCUGGGAAACUGCCCGAUGGAGGGGGAUAACUACUGGAAACGGUAGCUAAUACCGCAUAACGUCGCAAGACCAAAGUGGGGGACCUUCGGGCCUCACACCAUCGGAUGUGCCCAGAUGGGAUUAGCUAGUAGGUGGGGUAACGGCUCACCUAGGCGACGAUCCCUAGCUGGUCUGAGAGGAUGACCAGCCACACUGGAACUGAGACACGGUCCAGACUCCUACGGGAGGCAGCAGUGGGGAAUAUUGCACAAUGGGCGCAAGCCUGAUGCAGCCAUGCCGCGUGUAUGAAGAAGGCCUUCGGGUUGUAAAGUACUUUCAGCGAGGAGGAAGGCGUUGUGGUUAAUAACCACAGCGAUUGACGUUACUCGCAGAAGAAGCACCGGCUAACUCCGUGCCAGCAGCCGCGGUAAUACGGAGGGUGCAAGCGUUAAUCGGAAUUACUGGGCGUAAAGCGCACGCAGGCGGUUUGUUAAGUCAGAUGUGAAAUCCCCGGGCUCAACCUGGGAACUGCAUUUGAAACUGGCAAGCUUGAGUCUCGUAGAGGGGGGUAGAAUUCCAGGUGUAGCGGUGAAAUGCGUAGAGAUCUG
This 710-nucleotide ribosomal RNA is filed under the name Salmonella enterica subsp. enterica serovar Kentucky. RNAcentral describes it as "bacterial SSU rRNA". It matches the Rfam family "Bacterial small subunit ribosomal RNA", at positions 1 to 700 of the family's 1533-position model. Lineage: Bacteria; Pseudomonadati; Pseudomonadota; Gammaproteobacteria; Enterobacterales; Enterobacteriaceae. The record is from RNAcentral.